CAGGGUUGGGAAUGGCAACCCACUCCAGUACUAUUGCCUGGAAAAUCCCAUCGACGGAUUUUCCGUCUACAGUCCAUGGGGUCGCAGGGAGUUGGACACGACUGAGCGAGUUCACUUCCACCUUUCAUCCCUUUCUCAGUCUGAGACAGGAGAACGGAGUCCUGGAGACAGUGUGUGGGGCGGGGGACAUGGAGACGUGUUGCUCAGCACCUCCACGUGUCUGCGCCUGACAGGUUCUGUCUGCCUCUCUCCCCCAAGGGAAGACAGGCUCUGCCCACUGGCGGCCGAAGAUGACGCCACGGCGGCUGUGAGGUGGCCCGAGCCCCGCCGGCAGGCAGGCGCCCUGCAGGGAUCUCCCCCCGCGGCCUGGUCCGACUACACUGAGGAGCCUGACCGCCAGAGGCAGGCCUGCAGCAUCCCCAUGUGGUUGACCGACGAGGAGGCCAAGGAUGGGGACAGCUCCGUGUCGUCGGGCCGCCUCUCUGGCUCCUCGGGGGGCCAUGAGUCGUGCACCCCUCCCCACAGGACUUGGACCGAGAGGGCCCCCCAGGUGCCAAGGCCACCGCGGCAGCCGAGAGAGAGCAACCCCCGGCUGGAGCAGCUGAGGGACAAGAUCCGGGCCCAAGCCCAGCGGCAGGCAAGCUGCGCCUCGCUGGGCACCUCGACACCCUCCAGCGCCUCACACCUCUACAAAGCUUUCACACCAGCACCCCGGAGGAAGGCCCGAAAGCCUUCAAACCCCCUACCAGCCCCGGCCUACCCAGGCAUCCUGAGUGGAACUAAAAGUGGAGUUGAAGAGAAGGCAACCCCUGGCCAUGGGCGUGAGGCCUCCAGGAUCUCCCAGCACCAAGUCUCAGAUCACAGCAAGAAGGUUGGAGCCACCGAGAGCUCCCCUGUCCACCCCCAGACGCCAAGUCCAGCCUCUGUCCACAGUGACCCGCAGAUGCCCUCAGCCAACGUGCCCACCCUGGCUUCCCGCGAUCCACCUGUGAACGUCCAGGCUGCUAUGGCCGUCCUUCGAGACCUCCGCCAGCAAAUCCAGGCCGGGCUGGAGCUGGCCCGGGCCCGUCACACGAGCCGAGGGCUGGAGCUGCGUGACCUGGCAGGGAGGAGGCGGCCAGGCCCCUGGAAACCCCAAGACGUCCGGGGCUCCUUCUGGAAGAGCCCUGGGGCCCCGACGGACGGGCUGCCUGCCUCCAAGAAGGCUGGGAGCCUCCCUGCCGCACAGCGCUGGAGCCCUGUGGCUGGGUGGGAGUCCUAUCCACAUAGGACCUGGGCGGCCCCAGGACGGGACACCUCCUUCCAGAGACGCGUGAGCCCCACUGAAGGGCUGAACUCCUUCCCCCAGCGGCCCUGGAGUGCCUCGGCCAGGCAGGCCUCCUGCCCCCCAAAGACCUGGGCGUUCCAAGGACGAAACCUCUCCUUGCAGAGGCCCGGGAGCCCCCCCGAAAGGUGGGUCCCCUUCCUGCAGCGGUCCUGGAGCGCCUCGGCCGGACAGGCCUGGGGUCCACAGAGGGCCUGGACUGCUUGUGAAGACCCGGCAGCCCCCGCCCCGAGGCCAUGGAGCCCUCUGGAAAGGCCGAGCCAACCCACCUGGCGACCCUGGAGCGCCUCCUUCACACAGGGGCCCAGCCCCCUGUAUCAGGGCAGGGGUCCCCUGCGGACCCCCUCGGGGGCCAAGCUCGCCUGGCCAAGGCCCAGCCAGGGUGCGCUUUGGAACGCGCCUGAGAAGGAGAAUGAGGUGCGGCCACCUCGGCCUUGCCCCCAGCCCCGGGGGGCCCUGGGCCCCCUCCACGGCUCUGAGUCCCUGCGUGAGUUCAUGCGCCAGAAGACUGCAGCCUGGUGGCGGCAGGCCCUCAAGGAGAAGGCCUCAGCCAUGCACUCGCUGGAGCUCAGAAACCAGAGGCUCCAGGGCGCCCACAGGAAGCAGAGGGAGGCCAUGCUGGGCAGAGCCAUCCCCGUGGUCUCCCAGACGACCCCUGGCAUUGUGACCUUCGUCCCGCACGCGGCACAGUCCAGGGUAUGUGGCAGCUCGGACACCCAGCUCCCCUGGUCCAUGGGGCUUUGCGGGGACCCCAUUGCCUCCGUUUCUGCCCACCCUCCCCCAGGAAGGGACCAGCCUGUGAUUCCCGCAGAGGCCGGGGCCAGCUCCAAGGCUGAGACAGGGUCUGGGGCCUUGCGGCUGGGCUGGGGCCUUGCGGCUGGGCUGGGGCUGACAGCAUCCUCCUUUGCUUUAGGAUCUGGAAGCUGCCGCCGGGCCGGGGGCGCCGGUGCUGCAGUGGAGCAAGGUGACUUCCGGUAUGGUGCUGGGGGACCAGGAGGCCCCAGGCAGGUGGGUGUGAGCGGCCGGGGCUGGACUUCCUGGGGGACUGUCCCGGGCAGGGGUUGGCUCGCUCGGUCCAGAGCCGCACAGAGCCUGUGAUCAGGGCUGCGUCGGUUUCCACUGAGGUGAGAUUGCUGUCACGUAAAGUUAACCUUUAUGAGCUGAACUAUUCAGGGGCCCUUAGUACAUUCACAAUAUUUUGAAACCAACCACCACCUCUGUCUAGUCCCAGAACAUUUCAUCACCUGGAAGGAAAUGCGGUUUCCGUUCACAGUCGCCCCCCUCACUCCGCCCCUGAGCCCUGAGGCAUCCCCAAUCGGCUGUCUGUCCUUACGGAUUCACCUGUUCCCCAUGCACUAUAUAGGAG
Long non-coding RNA from Capra hircus (goat), 2690 nucleotides. The record is from Ensembl. NCBI's taxonomy places the organism in Eukaryota, Metazoa, Chordata, Mammalia, Artiodactyla, Bovidae.